UACGGAAGGUGCAAGCGUUAAUCGGAAUUACUGGGCGUAAAGCGCGCGUAGGCGGCUUCGUAAGUCGGGUGUGAAAGCCCCGGGCUCAACCCGGGAACUGCGUCCGAUACUGGUGGGCUCGAAUCCGGGAGAGGGAUGCGGAAUUCCAGGUGUAGCGGUGAAAUGCGUAGAUAUCUGGAGGAACACCGGUGGCGAAGGCGGCAUCCUGGACCGGCAUUGACGCUGAGGCGCGAAAGCCAGGGGAGCAAACGGG
This 253-nucleotide ribosomal RNA is filed under the name uncultured bacterium. Its description in RNAcentral is "partial 16S ribosomal RNA". It matches the Rfam family "Bacterial small subunit ribosomal RNA", at positions 524 to 776 of the family's 1533-position model. The record is from RNAcentral.